UACAGAGGUCCCAAGCGUUGCUCGGAUUCACUGGGCGUAAAGGGUGCGUAGGUGGCCGGGUAAGUCUGAUGUGAAAUCUCCGAGCCUAACUCGGAAACUGCAUCGGAAACUACACGGCUCGAGGGUUGGAGGGGGGACUGGAAUACUUGGUGUAGCAGUGAAAUGCGUAGAUAUCAAGUGGAACACCAGUGGCGAAGGCGAGUCCCUGGACAACUCCUGACACUGAGGCACGAAAGCUAGGGGAGCAAACAGG
Molecule: ribosomal RNA, 253 nt
Filed under: uncultured bacterium
Lineage: Bacteria
Description: partial 16S ribosomal RNA
Rfam family: Bacterial small subunit ribosomal RNA
Source: RNAcentral